CGUAGGUGACCUGCGGAAGGAUCAUUAUCGAAUCGUAGGCGAGGGUUGUCGCUGGCCUCUCGGGGCAUGUGCACGCCCGAGCCCUUGAAUCCCAAACACCACAUGUGAACCCACCGUAGGCCUUCGGGCCUAUGUCUUAUCAUAUAAUCCGAAUGUCUAAUAGAAUGUAAACCCAUUUCGUUGCCUUGAAAACGCAACGAAAGAAAACUAUACAACUUUCAACAACGGAUCUCUUGGCUCUCGCAUCGAUGAAGAACGCAGCGAAAUGCGAUAAGUAAUGUGAAUUGCAGAUUUUCAGUGAAUCAUCGAAUCUUUGAACGCACCUUGCGCCCCUUGGUAUUCCGAGGGGCAUGCCUGUUUGAGUGUCAUUAAAUCCUCAACCCCUCCGAUUCGUUUCGGUGGGGAUUGGACUUGGAGCGUGCUGGCGAAGGUCGGCUCCUCUUUAAAUGCAUCAGCGGAGAAAAUGCCUUUUGCGCCUCUGGCCGUUCAGCGUGAUAAUGACGUUGCGCUGCGGUCGAGCUUAAGGUCCGCUUCCAAAGGUCCUCUCGGACGAUAUAUACAUAUGACUUUUGACCUCAAAUCAGGUAGGACUACCCGCUGAACUUAAGCAUAUCA
RNAcentral lists this ribosomal RNA (615 nucleotides) under uncultured Tylospora. RNAcentral's name for it is "eukaryotic LSU rRNA". The stretch from base 214 to 368 matches the Rfam family "5.8S ribosomal RNA". Lineage: Eukaryota; Fungi; Basidiomycota; Agaricomycetes; Atheliales; Atheliaceae. The record is from RNAcentral.